GACGGACGCUGGCGGCGUGCUUAACACAUGCAAGUCGUACGGUAAGGCCCUUUCGGGGGUCCACGAGUGGCGAACGGGUGAGUAACACGUGAGUAACCUGCCCACAACUUUGGGAUAACGCUAGGAAACUGGUGCUAAUACUGGAUAUGUGCCCCUGCUGCAUGGUGGGGGUUGGAAAGCUCCGGCGGUUGUGGAUGGACUCGCGGCCUAUCAGCUUGUUGGUGGGGUAGUGGCCUACCAAGGCGGCGACGGGUAGCCGGCCUGAGAGGGUGACCGGCCACAUUGGGACUGAGAUACGGCCCAGACUCCUACGGGAGGCAGCAGUGGGGAAUAUUGCACAAUGGGCGCAAGCCUGAUGCAGCAACGCCGCGUGCGGGAUGACGGCCUUCGGGUUGUAAACCGCUUUCAGCAGGGACGAAGCUUUUUGUGACGGUACCUGCAGAAGAAGCACCGGCUAACUACGUG
Molecule: ribosomal RNA, 465 nt
Filed under: uncultured bacterium
Lineage: Bacteria
Description: partial 16S ribosomal RNA
Rfam family: Bacterial small subunit ribosomal RNA
Source: RNAcentral